This 71-nucleotide transfer RNA is filed under the name Bos taurus (domestic cattle). It matches the Rfam family "tRNA". Rfam says of the family: Transfer RNA (tRNA) molecules are approximately 80 nucleotides in length. Their secondary structure includes four short double-helical elements and three loops (D, anti-codon, and T loops). The record is from Rfam by way of RNAcentral. RNAcentral also lists the same sequence under 4 other names. Lineage: Eukaryota; Metazoa; Chordata; Mammalia; Artiodactyla; Bovidae.
UCCCCAGUGGCUCAGCCGUAAAGAAUCUGCCUGCAGUGCAGAAGAUGCAGGUUCAAUCCCUGGAUUGGGAA